RNAcentral lists this ribosomal RNA (497 nucleotides) under uncultured bacterium. RNAcentral's name for it is "partial 16S ribosomal RNA". It matches the Rfam family "Bacterial small subunit ribosomal RNA", at positions 28 to 507 of the family's 1533-position model. The record is from RNAcentral.
GAUGAACGCUGGCGGCGUGCCUAAUACAUGCAAGUCGAGCGAACGGACGAGAAGCUUGCUUCACUGAUGUUAGCGGCGGACGGGGGAGUAACACGUGGAUAACCUACCUAUAAGACUGGGAUAACUUCGGGAAACCGGAGCUAAUACCGGAUGAUAUUUUGAACCGCAUGGUUCAAAAGUGAAAGACGGUCUUGGUGUCACUUAUAGAUGGAUCCGCGCUGCAUUAGCUAGUUGGUAAGGUAACGGCUUACCAAGGCAACGAUGCAUAGCCGACCUGAGAGGGUGAUCGGCCACACUGGAACUGAGACACGGUCCAGACUCCUACGGGAGGCAGCAGUAGGGAAUCUUCCGCAAUGGGCGAAAGCCUGACGGAGCAACGCCGCGUGAGUGAUGAAGGUCUUCGGAUCGUAAAACUCUGUUAUUGGGGAAGAACAUAUGUGUAAGUAACUGUGCACAUCUUGACGGUACCUAAUCAGAAAGCCACGGCUAACUACGUG